Molecule: transfer RNA, 72 nt
Filed under: Bos taurus (domestic cattle)
Lineage: Eukaryota; Metazoa; Chordata; Mammalia; Artiodactyla; Bovidae
Also listed under: 4 other names
Rfam family: tRNA
About the family: Transfer RNA (tRNA) molecules are approximately 80 nucleotides in length. Their secondary structure includes four short double-helical elements and three loops (D, anti-codon, and T loops). Further hydrogen bonds mediate the characteristic L-shaped molecular structure. tRNAs have two regions of fundamental functional importance: the anti-codon, which is responsible for specific mRNA codon recognition, and the 3' end, to which the tRNAs corresponding amino acid is attached (by aminoacyl-tRNA synthetases). tRNAs cope with the degeneracy of the genetic code in two manners: having more than one tRNA (with a specific anti-codon) for a particular amino acid; and 'wobble' base-pairing, i.e. permitting non-standard base-pairing at the 3rd anti-codon position.
Source: Rfam by way of RNAcentral
UUCCUGGUGGCUCAGAUGGUAAAGAAUCUGCCUGCAAUGCAGGAGACCCAGGUUCAACCCCUGGGUUGGGAA